GGGUACCGUCAGGCCUAACGUGUAUUAUACGUUAGGAGGUUCUUCCCCUCUGACAGAGCUUUACGACCCAAGAGCCUUCAUCACUCACGCGAUAUUGCUGCGUCAGGCUUUCGCCCAUUGCGCAAAAUUCCCC
Molecule: ribosomal RNA, 133 nt
Filed under: uncultured bacterium
Lineage: Bacteria
Description: partial 16S ribosomal RNA
Source: RNAcentral